GAUGAACGCUGGCGGCGUGCCUAAUACAUGCAAGUCGAGCGAACAGACGAGGAGCUUGCUCCUCUGACGUUAGCGGCGGACGGGUGAGUAACACGUGGAUAACCUACCUAUAAGACUGGGAUAACUUCGGGAAACCGGAGCUAAUACCGGAUAAUAUAUUGAACCGCAUGGUUCAAUAGUGAAAGACGGUUUUGCUGUCACUUAUAGAUGGAUCCGCGCCGCAUUAGCUAGUUGGUAAGGUAACGGCUUACCAAGGCAACGAUGCGUAGCCGACCUGAGAGGGGUGAUCGGCCACCUUGGAACUGAGACAGGUCCCAGCCCCCUACGGGGGGCAGGAGGAGGGAAUCUUCCGCAAUGGGCAAAAGCCUGACGGGGCAACCCCGCGUGAGUGAGGAAGGUUUUCGGAUCGUAAAACUCUUUUAUUAGGAAAAAAAAAAUGUUUAAAUAACUAUGCACGUCUUGAGGGUACCAAAGAAAAAAGCCACGGCGAACUCCGG
This 497-nucleotide ribosomal RNA is filed under the name uncultured bacterium. Its description in RNAcentral is "partial 16S ribosomal RNA". It matches the Rfam family "Bacterial small subunit ribosomal RNA", at positions 28 to 506 of the family's 1533-position model. The record is from RNAcentral.